UACGUAGGGGGCAAGCGUUAUCCGGAUUUACUGGGUGUAAAGGGAGCGUAGACGGCAGGGCAAGUCUGGAGUGAAAGGCAGGGGCCCAACCCCUGGACUGCUCUGGAAACUGUCCGGCUGGAGUGCAGGAGAGGUAAGUGAAAUUCCUAGUGUAGCGGUGAAAUGCGUAGAUAUUAGGAGGAACACCAGUGGCGAAGGCGGCUUACUGGACUGUAACUGACGUUGAGGCUCGAAAGCGUGGGGAGCAAACAGG
Molecule: ribosomal RNA, 253 nt
Filed under: uncultured bacterium
Lineage: Bacteria
Description: partial 16S ribosomal RNA
Rfam family: Bacterial small subunit ribosomal RNA
Source: RNAcentral